Molecule: ribosomal RNA, 559 nt
Filed under: uncultured bacterium
Lineage: Bacteria
Description: bacterial SSU rRNA
Rfam family: Bacterial small subunit ribosomal RNA
Source: RNAcentral
GGGAAACUGCCCGAUGGAGGGGGAUAACUACUGGAAACGGUAGCUAAUACCGCAUAACGUCUUCGGACCAAAGUGGGGGACCUUCGGGCCUCACACCAUCGGAUGUGCCCAGAUGGGAUUAGCUAGUAGGUGGGGUAACGGCUCACCUAGGCGACGAUCCCUAGCUGGUCUGAGAGGAUGACCAGCCACACUGGAACUGAGACACGGUCCAGACUCCUACGGGAGGCAGCAGUGGGGAAUAUUGCACAAUGGGCGCAAGCCUGAUGCAGCCAUGCCGCGUGUAUGAAGAAGGCCUUCGGGUUGUAAAGUACUUUCAGCGGGGAGGAAGGCGAUGUGGUUAAUAACCGCGUCGAUUGACGUUACCCGCAGAAGAAGCACCGGCUAACUCCGUGCCAGCAGCCGCGGUAAUACGGAGGGUGCAAGCGUUAAUCGGAAUUACUGGGCGUAAAGCGCACGCAGGCGGUCUGUCAAGUCGGAUGUGAAAUCCCCGGGCUUAACCUGGGAACUGCAUUCGAAACUGGCAGGCUUGAGUCUCGUAGAGGGGGGUAGAAUUCCAGGU